This 444-nucleotide ribosomal RNA is filed under the name Klebsiella pneumoniae. Its description in RNAcentral is "bacterial SSU rRNA". It matches the Rfam family "Bacterial small subunit ribosomal RNA", at positions 780 to 1224 of the family's 1533-position model. The record is from RNAcentral. Lineage: Bacteria; Pseudomonadati; Pseudomonadota; Gammaproteobacteria; Enterobacterales; Enterobacteriaceae.
AGAUACCCUGGUAGUCCACGCCGUAAACGAUGUCGAUUUGGAGGUUGUGCCCUUGAGGCGUGGCUUCCGGAGCUAACGCGUUAAAUCGACCGCCUGGGGAGUACGGCCGCAAGGUUAAAACUCAAAUGAAUUGACGGGGGCCCGCACAAGCGGUGGAGCAUGUGGUUUAAUUCGAUGCAACGCGAAGAACCUUACCUGGUCUUGACAUCCACAGAACUUAGCAGAGAUGCUUUGGUGCCUUCGGGAACUGUGAGACAGGUGCUGCAUGGCUGUCGUCAGCUCGUGUUGUGAAAUGUUGGGUUAAGUCCCGCAACGAGCGCAACCCUUAUCCUUUGUUGCCAGCGGUCCGGCCGGGAACUCAAAGGAGACUGCCAGUGAUAAACUGGAGGAAGGUGGGGAUGACGUCAAGUCAUCAUGGCCCUUACGACCAGGGCUACACACGUG